GCAAGUCGAACGCGAUUUUUCCGGUUAGCAAUAACUGGAAAAAUUGAGUGGCGAAUGGGUGCGUAACACGUGGGAAUUUAUCCGGAAGUGGGGGAUAGCUUGCCGAAAGGCAAAUUAAUACCGCAUAUGCCCGUAAGGGCAAAGUGGGGGACCGCAAGGCCUCACGCUAUCGGAGGAGCCCGCGCCCUAUCAGCUAGUUGGUGAGGUAAUGGCUCACCAAGGCUUAGACGGGUAGCUGGUCUGAGAGGACGACCAGCCACACUGGAACUGAGACACGGUCCAGACACCUACGGGUGGCAGCAGUCGAGGAUUUUUCUCAAUGGGGGCAACCCUGAAGGAGCGACGCCGCGUGGAGGAUGAAGGGCUUCGGCUCGUAAACUCCUGUCACCGACGAACAAGGCAUUCGGAUUAAUAAAUCGGAUGCUUGAUGGUAGUCGGAGAGGAAGGGGCGGCUAACUCUGUGCCAGCAGCCGCGGUGAUACAGAGGCCCCAAGCGUUGUUCGGAUUUACUGGGCGUAAAGGGUGUGUAGGGGGUCGGGUAAGUUUGACGUGAAAUCCCCGUUGCUCAACAACGGAACUGCGUCGAAUACUGCUCAGCUGGAGGUUCGGAGAUGAGGGCGGAAUUCUCGGUGUAGCGGUGAAAUGCGUAGAUAUCGAGAGGAACGNCGAUGGCGAAAGCAGCCCUCAAGACGAAAUCUGAUCCUGAAACACGAAGGNCAGGGGAGCAAACGGGAUUAGAUACCNCCGGUAGUCCUGGCAGUAAACGGUGCUCAUUAGAUGUAGGCGGAUUCGACCCNCGCCUGUGUCGAACCUAACGGAUUAAAUGAGNCGNCUGGGAAGUACGGUCGCAAGAUUAAAACUCAAAUGAAUUGACGGAAGGGCGAAUU
RNAcentral lists this ribosomal RNA (887 nucleotides) under uncultured bacterium. Its description in RNAcentral is "bacterial SSU rRNA". It matches the Rfam family "Bacterial small subunit ribosomal RNA", at positions 57 to 927 of the family's 1533-position model. The record is from RNAcentral.